Molecule: long non-coding RNA, 455 nt
Filed under: Nicotiana tabacum (common tobacco)
Lineage: Eukaryota; Viridiplantae; Streptophyta; Magnoliopsida; Solanales; Solanaceae
Description: long non-coding RNA (NTAB_LNC009965)
Source: RNAcentral
GCAAACUAAAUACUAUAGAAAUAAAAUGGAGCGACAUCACUUGACAAAAAGGGUUCUUAGCGCUACAUAUUUGUCGGGAACAUCUGGAGUUCGAUUCCCUGUUGAAAAAUAUUAACAGAAAUUCAAGUUGCUCAGCCCCAAACUUCGUUGUCUUUGUUCAAGAACAAACCCUAAUUUCCGGCGAAUCCGCAAUCGAGCAAAACCCUGAAUCUCCAUGUUUCCACGCAUCCUGUAAAGUAGAUAAUUUCGUUGUAUUGUAAACAACACAAUAAAACAAGAAGAUAGAUAAUUUCGUUGGAAUUGAUAACUGUAAAUUCCAUGGUAAUCCAAGAAAUUGAAUAAGCAACAAAUUGGCCACCUCUUACUCUCGUUCUCUCUGUUUCGUUCUCUUCUUAUCCGUUCCUCUCUACUAUAUCUGUGUAUGUGUAUCUUCAAUUUUGAGGAAAAGAAUGAUG